CCGUUCGUACGCACUCAUGUACCUCUUCGCUUCUGGUAAAUCACCAUUUUCUCGUUUGGACUUAGUUUAUUUUCAUUAACGACGUAUUUCGGACUUAGAGAAUAUUCGAGCAAUCGCUUAUUACCUAAGACACCAGUGAUUGUCGUUAAUUCGAAUAACUAACCCGUAUAAAUUAACUUGUCUUUUUUACAAUUUUAAUAAAAUAACUCAUCGAACUACAAUUUGUUGAUCAUUUGACGCUUCUACCAUCAACCUAUCCUGUCCCCUUCUCCUGUAAGUUGGGUGCACGCAACAGCAUUGUGUGUAGUUAUAUACUACGGUGAACGUCAUUCGAGUAAUGAACGCUGUCCAUGAUCCGACGCAGUUGGAUUGCAUACCUGAUGCCGUGACCCGGCCGUCCCACAUUGUCCGCUAUCCGACAAAGUCAGAUUGCCUACGCGGAUAACUGAGGUGACUGACCUGCUAGACACUAAAAAAAUCGCGGCGGCUAUAUGAUUUUUUUUACGGAAUUUCAAAUUUUCGGCGGCAUAACCCGGGCUACCACGUCGAACCGGGGUGGUCCUAACCUUAUCAUAGUUCCUUAUCAUCAGACCUCCUUAUCACACACCAACCGGCUCGAGACCGACGACCAGACCAAAAGACCACUUCAGCUUCCGACAUCGGUUGAAAUUCUUCGCCAACUCGGGGGGUUUGGGCGUCUCCCCCAGCGACGCUUGGAGAACUAGUUUUAUAUAAAACAUAUAAUAUAUGUAUUUUGUAAUAAAAUAAUUAUAACAGUGUGUAGCUAUAUAAUAUAAUGUUUAGUACGUCAUGUUAAAUACCUACUUAAUAACUGUUGUAAAAAAGUUGUUUUUUAUUCUGUAACUUUGUUUGUAUUAUUUGUAUUGUUCAGUACUAUGUUAUUUAUUAUUUAAUAAACAUUUAAGGUCUAUAAUUUAUUA
Metopolophium dirhodum (rose-grain aphid) is the source of this 941-nucleotide long non-coding RNA. RefSeq lists it as uncharacterized. The record is from RefSeq and is a predicted model, not a curated record. The transcript has 2 exons. NCBI's taxonomy places the organism in Eukaryota, Metazoa, Arthropoda, Insecta, Hemiptera, Aphididae.